ACGGAAGGCAGCAGUAGGGAAUCUUCGGCAAUGGGGGCAACCCUGACCGAGCAACGCCGCGUGAGUGAAGAAGGUUUUCGGAUCGUAAAGCUCUGUUGUAAGAGAAGAACGUGUGUGAGAGUGGAAAGUUCACACAGUGACGGUAACUUACCAGAAAGGGACGGCUAACUACGUGCCAGCAGCCGCGGUAAUACGUAGGUCCCGAGCGUUGUCCGGAUUUAUUGGGCGUAAAGCGGGCGCAGGCGGUUUAAUAAGUCUGAAGUUAAAGGCAGUGGCUUAACCAUUGUUCGCUUUGGAAACUGUUAGACGUGAGUGCAGAAAGGGAGAGUGGAAUUCCAUGUGUAGCGGUGGAAUGCGUAGAUAUAUGGAGGGACACCGGUGGGGAAAGCGGCUCUCUGGUCUGUAACAGACGCUGAGGCUCGAAAGCGUGGGGAGCAAACAGGAUUGGAUACCCUGAUA
RNAcentral lists this ribosomal RNA (459 nucleotides) under uncultured Streptococcus sp. RNAcentral describes it as "partial 16S ribosomal RNA". It matches the Rfam family "Bacterial small subunit ribosomal RNA", at positions 341 to 792 of the family's 1533-position model. The record is from RNAcentral. Lineage: Bacteria; Bacillati; Bacillota; Bacilli; Lactobacillales; Streptococcaceae.